GAUGAAGAACGUAGCGAAAUGCGAUAAGUAAUGUGAAUUGCAGAAUUCAGUGAAUCAUCGAAUCUUUGAACGCACAUUGCGCCCGCCAGUAUUCUGGCGGGCAUGCCUGUCCGAGCGUCAUUUCAACCCUCGAACCCCUCCGGGGGGUCGGCGUUGGGGAUCGGCCCUGCCUCUUGGCGGUGGCCGUCUCCGAAAUACAGUGGCGGUCUCGCCGCAGCCUCUCCUGCGCAGUAGUUUGCACACUCGCAUCGGGAGCGCGGCGCGUCCACAGCAGUUAAACACCCAACUUCUGAAAUGUUGACCUCGGAUCAGGUAGGAAUACCCGCUGAACUUAAGCAUAUCAAUAAGCGGAGUA
RNAcentral lists this unclassified non-coding RNA (355 nucleotides) under soil metagenome. RNAcentral describes it as "partial contains 5.8S ribosomal RNA, internal transcribed spacer 2, and large subunit ribosomal RNA". The stretch from base 1 to 120 matches the Rfam family "5.8S ribosomal RNA", at positions 35 to 154 of the family's 154-position model. The record is from RNAcentral.